Molecule: long non-coding RNA, 2341 nt
Organism: Podarcis raffonei (Aeolian wall lizard)
Lineage: Eukaryota; Metazoa; Chordata; Lepidosauria; Squamata; Lacertidae
Exons: 2
Source: RefSeq, a predicted model, not a curated record
AAGUUAAGACUUUGUAUGUUUUUGAUAGUAUCAAGUGUUUUGAACAGAACAUAAUGCAUUGCUGUAUUUUCAGUGAGCACCCUAUCAUAACUUUUGUAUUUAAUUUAACAGGCAGCUAUUACUUAGUUCACUGGGUAAAAUAUAUAUUUCUUGGAGAGAUGUUUUUACAUGCUUUAAGACACAAACAGCCAUGUCAGUAUGUAAAAUAAUUUUGAUUUUUAACUUGAAAGUAUAUUUUUAUUGUAAGGUACAUUCCAUUGCCUUUUGAUGCAAUUUUAUUUUUUUAUUUCAUUGUUGUGAUUUGACACUUAUUGUUCAGCUGUCUCAUUAAAUACCACUAUUUCCAAAUGCUUACUGCAUCAGAUGACAAAAAUAGUGUUUUUCCAGUAUCUCUUGCUCAGUGGAAUUCUUCCUCUGUCACUUUUGCUUAAAGUUUUCUCCCAGGCAUCCCAUGUACCGUAAUUGUAUGGGAUUCCAUAGAAAAUGAGGGGAAGAGGCUGUUGUGAUGUAGGUAGACUAGUGUGGUAGAUUGUGGCGGGUGUGGUUUAGGCAGCUUGACUGGAAUAAUUGUAGUGUAGUCCAUCACUCAUUUGACCACAACUUGAAGCCAUGGACUACCUAUUUAGACAGGUUCCGAAAUGGUCAUUAAGUAAAUGUGUAAACACUGUAUAUUUAGAUAUAGGAGUGUUAUGAUGCUGCAGGUUGCUUUUUUAAUGAUAUAGAUGUAUAUAACACAAUGGUUGACCAAAGAUGAACUUUACGUUGUUUUGUAGCUAUAUUUUUGCUUCCUAGAUUUUUUGAAAAGAUUUUUUAGCUUUGAAAAUAUUUCUGAUUGGCAGAUAUUCUUCAGGUAACUUAGGACAUGACCCAUUCUCUUUUGGAUAUGGUUGCACCCCUUGGAGGGGCUUGACAUGGAGCUGAAUAAAUUUAUCCUCUCCCUCCUGGCAGGCUGAAAGGCAUUUGCAAACUUAUUGUUGCGCUGUGUUUGUUAGAUAACAGUGCAAGGCUGCUGCAUGCCUCUCUCCUUUAUAGUGAUCCACCUGCCCCCUUUCCCAUAUCUUGAAUCUACAAGUUCAUUUGAGUUCAGGGGGGUGGUAACUUACAAGCCCGAAGUACUGUGGAAAUGAAGAACAUGUGGGUUGCUAUAUUGGUGGUGUGCAGUGACCUCCUUUUUAUGAUAACAGCCAGCAUGCUGUACAAUGUGUGCAAACCCGAGCUGGAGGUGAGGCAGCAAAUUUUAAUCCUGAUCUCUGCAAACCCUCUGUUUUUGCAUGUGUAUAUAUGGUACAUUUUUUUAUAAAUAGUGUAUAUUUUGAAACUGUAAAAAACUAUUUGGAUGUGUAUUUUGGACAUCUAAAAUGUGCUAGUCAAAAUAUUCAGAGCAUUGUGAAAGCAGUAUCUUAGGUUUUUUAUGUAUUCAAAAUCAAAAUUUAAAGUAAAAUUGACCUGUAGCUUGUUUCAUGAAAAAUAUAGAUAUAUAAAAUAAAUUUAAUUUGAGGAUUAAUAAUCAGUGCACGGUGUCUUCUGUGUCUUGCUGUGAGGGUUCAAAUACUUACACUACCUUGUGUUGGUGGCUUCUCCAUUAAUAUUGUUGGUUUUUUUUAAAAAAAAAAACCAGAAUUGUAUAUUUUCAUUCCUAAAAACUCUAAAAAUAGUUUAAAUUUGCACUCACAUUUUGUGGAAUUAAUAAAUAAAAAUUAUUCUUUUCCUUAGUGUGCCUGAAUUAAUAAUUGGAACUGAAGUGAAAAUAAUGGUUGCUCACUCUGUGUUUUGUUGGAAAGCUUUUUAAAUAUCAUUGAAUAGUUUGUUUACUUGUGUUUCAUGGCCAUUCUAAAGGCUAUAUAGAAACACUACAACAGUCCAAAAGUUGAAAAUCUAUCUUUGCCAUUAUUGUAUUUUUUAUAUUUUGUUUAGAACUGCUGACUUCAUUCAUCACAGCUUUCUGUCUGUAGUUCUUUGAGGUUCCGAGCUAUAGGUAAAAUAGGUUCUGUGGGAGCAGGGGUGAAAUGGGUAUUCCUGUAUAAACUGUGUUGCAGUUUUGGUCUCUUGUUUCCCUGCCUACCUUUCAAAAAUGUGGAUAACACCCUUGGUCCCAUGACAGUUAAACCUGUGGCAACAUCUAUUAAAGAGAUUUGCCUUAAGACUUAGAGAGAGUUCCAUAGUUCUGUGAAUUAGUGUCUAUUUCUUAAACAAUUUAAGUGCAUUAAAACUCAGGAAUUUGCUGCUUGUCUGCUUAUCUAUAUCAAAUGGUGCAUGUGUGUAUUGAUUAGUUGAUACAAGAAGUGUGCUUUAACUGAAGAUAUGCACAUGGAUUCAAUAGCUAAAACUCAGAAAAAAGAGA